ACCCGCCACCAUUUUCACAUUAUCGAACAACCUUCACCUUCCUCUUCGCCUCCAUAAUCAUUACUCGAAUAAUGACUCCUGUUCCCAUUAUACCCAUUAUUAUACCCUCCAUGGUCGUAUCCAAACCCACCGUAACUAGGCGGCGGCGGUGGUGGUGCUAUUGGCAUCCCGUAGCCAUGCUGAAACGGAGCACCACCGUAACCUUGAUCGUAAUACUGCCCGUAUCCCACCAUAGGUGGGUAAGCUGAUUGUGGGUACAUCUGUGGAUAGCCGUGCACUGGUUCAUACACCAUCUUCGCAACCUCCGGGUUCGGAGCAAAAUCUACUUUCUUCGGAGCUUCUUGUUUUGGCUUCUCCGCCUCUUUAGGUUUCCCCUCCGGUGGCUUCCCUGCAUCCUUCGGUUUAGCCUCCGGUGGCUUCCCAGCAUCCUUCGGUUUCGCCUCCGGUGGCUUCCCUGCGUCCUUAGGUUUGGCCUCCGGUGGCUUUCCUGCAUCCUUUGGCUUGUCAGCGGCUUUGGGUUUCUCCUGUUGAUCCUUUGGCUUGUCAGCAGCUUUGGGUUUCUCGGCUUCCUUGGGUUUUCCGGCAGGCUUGUCGGCAGCUGGUUUGGCAUCUUUUGGUUUGUCAGCCGGUGGCUUCGCCUUCUCAGCCUCUUUUGGCUUAUCGGCGACGGCGGCGGGUUUAGCUUUUUCCGGUUCUUUAGGCUUUUCCGGCUUCUCGACGAUUUCUAUGCUCUGAAUCGCACCUCCACCUUUGUAACAAAGCUUGUCUCGAAUAGCUUCAGGGCUACAACACACCACGAUUAAUUUGACCUUGUUCUUGUCCACAUCAAAGACCUG
Molecule: long non-coding RNA, 836 nt
Filed under: Lactuca sativa (garden lettuce)
Lineage: Eukaryota; Viridiplantae; Streptophyta; Magnoliopsida; Asterales; Asteraceae
Description: long non-coding RNA (LSAT_LNC003663)
Source: RNAcentral